UCCGUAGGUGAACCUGCGGAAGAUCAUUACUGAGUGAGGGCCCCUCGGGGUCCAACCUCCCACCCGUGUUUAACGAACCUUGUUGCUUUGGCGGGCCCGCCUCACGGCCGCCGGGGGGCAUCUGCCCCCGGGCCGCGCCGCCGAAGCCACCUGUGAACUCUGUCUGAAGUAUGCAGUCUGAGACAAUUAUUAAAUAAUGAAAACUUUCAUCAACGGAUCUCUUGGUUCCUGCAUCGAUGAAGAACGCAGCGAAAUGCGAUAACUAGUGUGAAUUGCAUAAUUCAGUGAAUCAUCGAGUCUAUGAACGCACAUUGCGCACUCUGGUAGGCCUGACGGUAUGCCUGUACUAGCGUCAUAGCUGCCCUCCAGCUCGGCUGGUCUGUUGGGCCCCGCCCCCCUGGCCAGGGGGGCCGGCCCGAGUGCAGCCGCGCACGUCAUCCAGUCUUGAGCGUAUGCGCGUGUAUCCGCACUGUCGGCGCCACGCAUCUACCCCUCAUCUGUGUUCCCGUGAUCUCGUAUCGAGUACGGAUUACCCGCAAGAGAAAUUAAGCAUAUCAAUAAGCGGAGGA
This 569-nucleotide ribosomal RNA is filed under the name Penicillium sp. AsaJ.2. RNAcentral describes it as "eukaryotic LSU rRNA". The stretch from base 202 to 355 matches the Rfam family "5.8S ribosomal RNA". Lineage: Eukaryota; Fungi; Ascomycota; Eurotiomycetes; Eurotiales; Aspergillaceae. The record is from RNAcentral.